This 389-nucleotide ribosomal RNA is filed under the name uncultured bacterium. RNAcentral describes it as "bacterial SSU rRNA". It matches the Rfam family "Bacterial small subunit ribosomal RNA", at positions 28 to 417 of the family's 1533-position model. The record is from RNAcentral.
GACGAACGCUGGCGGCGUGCUUAACACAUGCAAGUCGAGCGGUAAGGCCCUUUCGGGGGUACACGAGCGGCGAACGGGUGAGUAACACGUGGGUGACCUGCCCUCAGCUCUGGGAUAAGCCUGGGAAACCGGGUCUAAUACUGGAUAUGACUCCAUGACGCAUGUUGUGGGGUGGAAAGCCUUGUGCGGCUGAGGAUGGGCCCGCGGCCUAUCAGCUUGUUGGUGGGGNGAUGGCCUACCAAGGCGACGACGGGUAGCCGGCCUGAGAGGGCGACCGGCCACACUGGGACUGAGACACGGCCCAGACUCCUACGGGAGGCAGCAGUGGGGAAUCUUGCGCAAGUGGGCGAAAGCCUGACGCAGCGACGCCGCGUGAGGGAUGACGGCCU